CAGGGAUUGCCCUAGUAACGGCGAGUGAAGCGGCAACAGCUCAAAUUUGAAAUCUGGCCUUCUGGUCCGAAUUGUAAUUUGUAGAGGAUGCUUUUGGCGCGGUGCCUUCCGAGUUCCCUGGAACGGGACGCCUUAGAGGGUGAGAGCCCCGUACGGUUGGACACCAAGCCUCUGUAAAGCUCCUUCGACGAGUCGAGUAGUUUGGGAAUGCUGCUCUAAAUGGGAGGUAAAUUUCUUCUAAAGCUAAAUACCGGCCAGAGACCGAUAGCGCACAAGUAGAGUGAUCGAAAGAUGAAAAGCACUUUGAAAAGAGGGUUAAAUAGCACGUGAAAUUGUUGAAAGGGAAGCGUUUACGACCAGACUUUUUCCAGGCGGAUCAUCCGGUGUUCUCACCGGUGCACUUCGCCUGGUUUAGGCCAGCAUCGGUUUCUGUAGGGGGAUAAAAGCUUUGGGAAAGUAGCUCCCUCCGGGGAGUGUUAUAGCCCGCUGCAUAAUACCCUUAUGGGGACCGAGGAUCGCGCUCUGCAAGGAUGCUGGCAUAAUGGUCGUCAACGACCCGUCUUGAAACACGGACCAAGGAGUCGAACAUUUGUGCGAGUGUUUGGGUGUUAAACCCUCACGCGUAAUGAAAGUGAACGGAGGUGAGAGCCCUUACGGGUGCAUCAUCGACCGAUCCUGAUGUCUUCGGAUGGAUUUGAGUAAGAGCAUAACUGUUCGGACCCGAAAGAUGGUGAACUAUGCGUGGAUAGGGUGAAGCCAGAGGAAACUCUGGUGGAGGCUCGCAGCGGUUCUGACGUGCAAAUCGAUCGUCAAAUCUGCGCAUGGGGGCGAAAGACUAAUCGAACCAUUGAGAAACCAGCGGUAAAAUAUUAUUUACUAGGUGGUUAAGAGGCUCUUUGAAAGAAAGAGGCCUAGGUUGUGUACCCUAUAAAGUUACCCUGUAGUAACCGGUACGCGACCGACACCGCUAAAUUGCGGGGACAUCCUAUUUAAGGCCACGGGCUACCGCCGGCCGCUGAAAAGCGGCCUGGCAACCGAGAGUAGCGCUCUCGGGUAUGGUAAUAACGCCUGUGGUAGCGGACGACCUGCAGCCAACCCCGUGUUCAGGGGAGAGUUCACUGACUAGACAGCGGUGGGUUGGCCUUAUGGCCGGCCUAAGACAUAGUCGAUCCGGGCCCUGAAAAGGAACCCCUAAUAA
This 1198-nucleotide ribosomal RNA is filed under the name Anthostomella sp. RNAcentral's name for it is "partial large subunit ribosomal RNA". It matches the Rfam family "Eukaryotic large subunit ribosomal RNA", at positions 69 to 1446 of the family's 3401-position model. Lineage: Eukaryota; Fungi; Ascomycota; Sordariomycetes; Xylariales; Xylariaceae. The record is from RNAcentral.